GAGUUUGAUCAUGGCUCAGGAUGAACGCUAGCGGCGCGCCUAAUGCAUGCAAGUCGAGCGAUGAGGCACCUUUGGGUGUACAUCAGCGGCAGACGGGUGAGUAACACGUAGGUGACCUACCCCGAAGACGGGGAUAACAGGUGGAAACAUCUGCUAAUACCCGAUGGACUCUGAGCGGAAGCGAGGAGUAAAGGCUACGGUGCUUCGGGAGGGGCCUGCGGCCUAUCAGCUAGUUGGUAGGGUAACGGCCUACCAAGGCGAAGACGGGUAGGGGUGUGGAGAGCACGGCCCCCCACCAA
This 299-nucleotide ribosomal RNA is filed under the name uncultured microorganism. Its description in RNAcentral is "partial 16S ribosomal RNA". It matches the Rfam family "Bacterial small subunit ribosomal RNA", at positions 9 to 314 of the family's 1533-position model. The record is from RNAcentral.